RNAcentral lists this unclassified non-coding RNA (400 nucleotides) under Tecomanthe hillii. RNAcentral describes it as "partial external transcribed spacer". Lineage: Eukaryota; Viridiplantae; Streptophyta; Magnoliopsida; Lamiales; Bignoniaceae. The record is from RNAcentral.
CCUGCUUGGGCAGGGASGACGUGCCAUUCCCGCCUUUUCAGUUGGUGGUCCAGGUGCGUUCCAGCCUUGGCCGUUGUUGGUUUCCUGCGCUGCAUACCCGUUGCGAGGGCAUUCGGUCAGCCAAAAAAGUCCUAUUUUCGCCUUGCAUCGUGCCUCUCGGGCCGCGGGGCSGGGGGGACCUYRAASCACCCUCGUUUUCCCUCCCGUACGUUAGGGUUGUUGGCGGCCCAUGGUGUCGAGCUUGAUCUGUCGGAUGCAGUAAGUCUAGUUGGCACGAGGCCCCUGGUCUCUAUUUGUCCCGAAAAUAAGCKUUCUACGCUUCGUGCGAAUGACGGUCGUCGCCGUGUCAAUCGAGCCUCGUGGCUCGGUUCAUGCGGUGCCGGCGUCUGUGAAGAAUGCU